CCGUUGAGAACUCUCUAGAAACCCUUCCCCUACCUUCCCUCUCUCCUCUGAAAACGCCGAAUGCUUCACCUUCUUCUUUGAACAAAAUUGCAGACUUCUUCCCCCAAAAUCAGAUAUGUGCGCCUCCAUUUUUGUAUAUCCUUUAAACGCUCAUAUCUCUCUCAUCUUCAUAAAGUUUCAGUCAAACAAGAGAGAUUCAGAACGAGCCAAAAGUUCUCUUCAGAAAAUCUGAUCUUUCCGUACCUGAAGAAUCACGUGAAGAUCCAGGCCCUCCAACGCUUGAAUUUCAAACGGGCAUUUUUUUACUCGAUUCAAGCCUCAAAUUCCUGCUCAAAACUCUACCUAAGAACCCUAAUUUUACACCUAUAAAUACCAGAUUUUGUGGUUAUUUUUAUUCAUUAGAACCGCACUCUAAGAGCUCGUCUUCGUUCAGUCUCUAUUGGUUUUGUUUCACCAUAACAGAGGCAUCGUCGUGCUCGUUUUGGAGUUUGACAGUCAUUCGAGGUUGCGGAGGUUGCGGAGUAGAGGCCGAAGAUAACAGACCUUGACGUGACCCCAGUUCCUGCACCACAAAAGUAGUAGAAAAUGGGAGGAGCUAAUUAUAGCGUAGCCGAGUUUUAGGAGGCAUAAUUUAUUUUCAGUAAACUUAGUUAAAUAUCCUAUAAGUGUAAAGUUGGAAUUGAGUUUUUCUUGAUUUUGGUUAUAUGAAAAUUCGGAUGUAAUUCAUAACUUUGCUCUGAAACUCGGCAGAUUCUAUAUAGAGUUCAUUAAUCACUAUGUCACUUCGAACCAGUCACUUUGUUACUCAUUUUUGGUCUGCGCACAAAAUUUAUCAUUGUCAUAAUGUCAAUUUCAGAAGGACUCGAUAUCUUGUCUAUAGGAGCUUUAAGUUUUUUUAGACAUCAUGCUCACAGGAUUUUUAGAAUAUUUAGUUGGAAAUAAAUCUUCUUUUAUCUAAGAAUGAAGCAUCUGUACGCACCUACAUACUUUUUGCUUUAGAGGUUCAGCUAUUAGGUAGAGGGUAUCUUAUAUUUUCUAAUUUAGAAUGAUGUAAAAGAAGUGGAAAGCGCAACCUAUGGAGUCUUAAUUCGAGACUCUUGCAAUGAAGUCUCAUAGAGCUCACUCAACACUACCCGAGCAUGGAGUCAUCGCAUCCCAUACCAUCCUCCUUAGAAUGCACCCGAUAGUAAGAGAACAAGCAAAACGCUUGGGGUCGCCUAUGGCGGCUUCGUCUUUAGCAUUUAUUUUGUUUGAAUCUUUUAGACUAACUAAUGAUUUCUAUGAUUUGAUUAUUUUAAUUUGGAAUUCUGUUAAUAUAUGUUUAGGUAACAAUUUUUGUUUAGA
Molecule: long non-coding RNA, 1344 nt
Organism: Nicotiana attenuata
Lineage: Eukaryota; Viridiplantae; Streptophyta; Magnoliopsida; Solanales; Solanaceae
Exons: 2
Source: RefSeq, a predicted model, not a curated record